GAUGAAGAAACGCAGCGAAAUGCGAUAAGUAAUGUGAAUUGCAGAAUUCAGUGAAUCAUCGAAUCUUUGAACGCACAUUGCGCCCGCCAGUAUUCUGGCGGGCAUGCCUGUUCGGGCGUCAUUACAACCCUCGGGCCCCCGGGCCUGGCGUUGGGGAUCGGCGGAAGCCCCCUGCGGGCACAACGCCGUCCCCCAAAUACAGUGGCGGUCCCGCCGCAGCUUCCAUUGCGUAGUAGCUAACACCUCGCAACUGGAGAGCGGCGCGGCCACGCCGUAAAACACCCAACUUCUGAAUGUUGACCUCGAAUCAGGUAGGAAUACCCGCUGAACUUAAGCAUAUCAAUAAGCGGAGGA
RNAcentral lists this unclassified non-coding RNA (354 nucleotides) under soil metagenome. RNAcentral's name for it is "partial contains 5.8S ribosomal RNA, internal transcribed spacer 2, and large subunit ribosomal RNA". The stretch from base 1 to 121 matches the Rfam family "5.8S ribosomal RNA", at positions 35 to 154 of the family's 154-position model. The record is from RNAcentral.